Molecule: long non-coding RNA, 434 nt
Filed under: Hordeum vulgare
Lineage: Eukaryota; Viridiplantae; Streptophyta; Magnoliopsida; Poales; Poaceae
Description: long non-coding RNA (HVUL_LNC008337)
Source: RNAcentral
CGCCGGUCAGGGCAAGAAGGGGCCUCCGGCUCCAAAGCUGCCGUCCAACUUCAAGACGAUCCACCCGGGGCGGUUCGGGAAGAGGAACCAGGUGCUCUCCUGCGACGACACCAAGGACGGGAACAGCCCCUGCGUCGCCACCUGCGACAAGCGCUGCCCCAACGAGUGCAUCGUCAUGUGCCCAGGCUGCAAGACCUACUGCAGUAAGCACACCUACUCCAAUAUCCUUGUUGUUAAAUCCCGUAGCUAUAUGAUCUGCCGACCCACAUCAACUUAGAAUGAGAUGCCUAAAGAAAUUGCAUUGUUUUUUUCAAGUGUGCGACUUCUACCCCGGCGUGUCCUGCGGUGACCCCCGCUUCACCGGCGCCGACGGCAACAACUUCUACUUCCACGGCAAGAAGGACCAGAGCUUCUGCGUCGUCUCCGACACCGAC